CCUACACUCCAGAAAUUCAGAAAAGUUCUCUUAGUCUCCCUCAUUGUUGUGAGUCCCUAGAAGAAGAAGGAGAGAAGCUCUUGCUACCUCAGACGUUCCAGGGAGAACUAAAGCCCUAGCAUAGCCUUGCUCGACCUCAAGUUCUUGAUCGGCCAAUCAGUCCAUUGAAAAGUGUAAAUCUAUGUCUAGUACUUUCCGGCCAUCUUAUUCUGAUUUUAGUUUUCAAUUUAGAACUAUGUGUUUUAUUUUCCGAAUUGGAUGAAAUCUUUGUUGAGAACUAAGUGACUUCCAGUUAAUAAUAAUUAUGAUUUCGGUGUUCUGAGGAUGUUAUGUGAUUGAGUUAAUUGCCUUAGAAAUCAUUGAAAGCAUGUUUUUGUUUGAUAUACCUAUGUUAGAAUGCAUGCUAACUAAUGCUAUGAUUUGUACUAAGCCUCGUAGAUAAGUAUAGAUCACCAGUAGUGGAGGCUAUAUCCUAUAUGGUUGAGAGCAUGUUUUGCAUGUGAAUGGUUAAGCGUCAUACGUAAACUCUUUGCAUGUUAGGGUUCGUUCUUUUACGUAAUAAUUUGCAUGUUUGUAGACAGAUACUUAAUAGUAUUGAUAGCAACAACAUGUAAAAUGUUCUAAGUUCAGAUGUUUUAGCUUGGAUGACUAUUUAGAAGAACCGAUUAAAUGCAUGACCUCGUAGGCUUGUAUUUAGAACCCUUCUGUGUUUCUCUUUGGUGAUAACUCGAUUAUGUGAUUAAAAUUCAUUGGUUUAUACUUAUGUUUUCUGGAAUAUGGUUUUGAAAGUGUGGAAGUCGAUCACUUGUAUAUAUUAGUUUAGCUUUUAUCUUUAUCUUUUAGUAGGAACAUUAGAACAAAUCUCAAAACCCCCAUGUUUAUCUUGUAUCAUAUAUAUAUUUGUAAAUGAAUAUUUGUAUAUAUUUGUAUUGAUAACUCCUGACUUUUUACAUGAUAGCAGCACCCUUAGUCCCCGAAUUGAUCGAACAUUAUUUGCCUUAUACUACGAUUGUCAAAAAAGGUUCUUAAUUAUCGCAUGCCCGGUACCGAGCACGUCAAUAACAGUUUUAGUUUCCUUCAAAAACGGAUUUGCGGUUACUAUGUAUCACUCUCCCACGUUUUCUAGAUUGCGCAUAAAUGUGGAACAACAAAAAUUCUUUCGUGCAGAUUCGGGAGCCUACCAGCCAAGUUCGUGCAAAGAGAAAAUUUGUGGUAUUUGAGAGAGAAGUCGAUCAGAUAAGUGGAGACAAAAACAUAGAAAGGUUUGCUUAUCCAAGUUGAACUCAGAUUGUUUUGAAUGGCUUUUGGUUGUGCUUUGUUUUGAGCAUCUGUUCGGAACUUUUCAAAUAGAAAUUUCAAACUUUCGUUUCAGUUUGGGGUUGGAAAUAUAUACACUUGGUACACAUCAUAUACAUAUCAUGUGACUCAUGCUUAUCCAAGUUGAACUCAGUUAGGCGCAUGCAGAAAGGUUAUUUUGUGGAUUAUUGAUGUUAUUCUAGUUUAGUUUUAGUUAUGAAUUAUGGAUUAAGAUGAUGUAAUCUUUAUUGGUAUCACUAUCAGGUAAAGUUAUGUAUUUAUUUUCUAGUUUGGGCUUUUGAUAUUAGGCCGAG
Molecule: long non-coding RNA, 1610 nt
Filed under: Fragaria vesca (wild strawberry)
Lineage: Eukaryota; Viridiplantae; Streptophyta; Magnoliopsida; Rosales; Rosaceae
Description: long non-coding RNA (FVES_LNC000789)
Source: RNAcentral